GCAGAGCCCUGAGGCCAAAACCUCCUGAAGGGGAGGAAAUAUGGAGUGUCUCUGCUGCUUUGACUAGGCUGCCAGCUCUGCACUUCUUCUCCAACUGCUUCCCCACUGCCUGUGUUUGAUGCUCUGAGCCUGGCACAGCCCUGCCCACAAGAGUCAUCAAAGUUCAAUGGCAAGACAGAAGUCAGGAUAACUGAAAAUGAACUCUUCUUAGAAAGCAUGAAGAUUCCUCCACAGACCACAAGCUACAUCAAGAAGAUCCAGAAUGAACUUUGGGUGUGGUUGAUUGAACUGAAGGU
RNAcentral lists this long non-coding RNA (296 nucleotides) under Monodelphis domestica (gray short-tailed opossum). RNAcentral's name for it is "lncRNA (ENSMODG00000043270.1)". Lineage: Eukaryota; Metazoa; Chordata; Mammalia; Didelphimorphia; Didelphidae. The record is from RNAcentral.